GACGGAAGGUGCAAGCGUUGCUCGGAAUCACUGGGCGUAAAGGGCGCGUAGGCGGCUCCAAAAGUCAGGGGUGAAAUCCGGCAGCUUAACUGUCGCAGUGCCUUUGAUACUGUGGAGCUAGAGGGAGGUAGGGGUCUGUGGAACUUCCGGUGGAGCGGUGAAAUGCGUUGAUAUCGGAAGGAACGCCGGUGGCGAAAGCGACGGACUGGAUCUCUUCUGACGCUGAGGCGCGAAAGCCAGGGGAGCAAACGGG
This 253-nucleotide ribosomal RNA is filed under the name uncultured bacterium. RNAcentral describes it as "partial 16S ribosomal RNA". It matches the Rfam family "Bacterial small subunit ribosomal RNA", at positions 524 to 776 of the family's 1533-position model. The record is from RNAcentral.